This 460-nucleotide ribosomal RNA is filed under the name uncultured bacterium. RNAcentral's name for it is "partial 16S ribosomal RNA". It matches the Rfam family "Bacterial small subunit ribosomal RNA", at positions 338 to 795 of the family's 1533-position model. The record is from RNAcentral.
CCUACGGGAGACAGCAGUGAGGAAUAUUGGUCAAUGGGCGGGAGCCUGAACCAGCCAAGUCGCGUGAGGGAAGACGGUCCUAUGGAUUGUAAACCUCUUUAGGCGGGGAGCAAUGCCGGGCACGCGUGCCCGGAGGGAGAGUACCCGCAGAAUAAGCAUCGGCUAACUCCGUGCCAGCAGCCGCGGUAAUCAGGAGGAUGCGAGCGUUAUCCGGAUUUAUUGGGGUUAAAGGGUGCGUAGGCGGAUUUUUAAGUCAGCGGUAAAAUGUCCGGGCUCAACCCGGGCCGGCCGUUGAAACUGGGGAGCUUGAGUGGGCGAGAAGUAUGCGGAAUGCGUGGUGUAGCGGUGAAAUGCAUAGAUAUCACGCAGAACUCCGAUUGCGAAGGCAGCAUACCGGCGCCCGACUGACGCUGAGGCACGAAAGCGUGGGGAUCGAACAGGAUUAGAUACCCGAGUAGUC